This 31-nucleotide non-coding RNA is filed under the name Mus musculus (house mouse). The record is from RNAcentral. Lineage: Eukaryota; Metazoa; Chordata; Mammalia; Rodentia; Muridae.
UGAAAGUUAUGUCCAUGACUACGUGUCCAAG